This 1272-nucleotide ribosomal RNA is filed under the name Macropodaphis sp. JC-2016. RNAcentral describes it as "16S large subunit ribosomal RNA". Lineage: Eukaryota; Metazoa; Arthropoda; Insecta; Hemiptera; Aphididae. The record is from RNAcentral.
GAUUUAAUUAAUUAAUUUUUGUAUAUUUAAUUUUUAUUUUAUAAAAGUAAUUUACUUUUUUAUUGUUUAAGUAUUUGGUUAGAAUAAAUUUUUUGAUUUAUAGUUUAUUAGUAUUGUGAAAGAAAUUUAUUUAAAUUUUAAUAAGAAUAGAAUUAGUACCUUUUGUAUCAGGGUUAAUUAAAAUUUUUAAUUUAUAAUUAAAUUCUCAAAAUUUAUAGAGUUAAUUUUAUUAUUAAUUUAUUGUUUUAUAAGUAUUUAAAAAAUAAUUUUAGUUUUGAAAUUUAAUUCGAUAUAUUAUAUUUAGUUAUUUAAGAUUUAAAUUUAAUUUAAAAUUUUAAAAGUUUAAUUGAUUUUAUUAAUAUAAAUUUUAAAGUUAAAUUAUUUUAGGGAUAAGCUUGAAAUUUUUAUAUAAUAAUUUUAUUGAUUAAUAAUUUGUAGGAAUAGAAAUUUUUAUUGUAAGUUUGUAAAAAUUUAUUAUUUAAUUAAAUUAAGAUUUAUUAUAAAUUAUUUAUUGAAAAUAUUAAAUUUUAUAAAUUAAUAAUAUAUUUAUAGAAAUUAUGAUUAAAUUAGUAUAAUAGAUAUUUAUAAAUUAUGAAUUCGGCAAAAAUUAUUUUCAUCUGUUUAACAAAAACAUUGUAUUAAGUUUUAUUUAAUAUAGGAUCUGCUCAAUGAUUUAAUUAAAUAGCUGCAGUAUUUUUGACUGUGCAAAGGUAGCAUAAUAAUUAGUCUUUUAAUUGAGGACUUGUAUGAAAGAUUUGAUGAAAAAUAAACUUUAUUAUUUAUAUAAUUAAAAUUUUAUUUUUUAAGUAAAAAAGCUUAAAUAUUUUAAAUGUACGUUGACAGGAUCGUAUACAAACUUGACUACAUAAUAAACUAAUUUUAAUUUUUUGGAUUAUAAUAUUUAGAUUUAAUUAUUAUUUUAUUGGGGUGAUAAAAAAAUAUUUUAACUUUUUUUUAAAUUAACAUAAAUUAAUGAUUUUUUGAAUUAAAAAUUUUAAUUAAUAAAAAGGUUACUUUAGGGAUAACAGCGUAAAUUAAUUUUUUAAAGUUCAAAUUUAAAAAUUAGUUUGCGACCUCGAUGUUGAAAUUAAGAAAAUUAUUGGGUGCAAAAUUUCAAUUUUUAGGUCUGUUCGACCUUUAAAUUCUUACAUGAUUUGAGUUCAAACCGGUGUGAGCCAGGUUGGUUUCUAUCUUUUAAAAAAUUAUUUGUUUUAGUACGAAAGGAUUAAAUAGAUAAAUUAAAUUUUUUUUAUAUGAAUUAAUUUAAUACUA